GAUGAACGCUGGCGGCGUGCCUAAUACAUGCAAGUCGAGCGAACGGACGAGAAGCUUGCUUCUCUGAUGUUAGCGGCGGACGGGUGAGUAACACGUGGAUAACCUACCUAUAAGACUGGGAUAACUUCGGGAAACCGUAGCUAAUACCGGAUAAUAUUUUGAACCGCAUGGUUCAAAAGUGAAAGACGGUCUUGCUGUCACUUAUAGAUUGAUCCGCGCUGCAUUAGCUAGUUGGUAAGGUAACGGCUUACCAAGGCAACGAUGCAUAGCCGACCUGAGAGGGGGAUCGGACACACUGGAACUGAGACACGGUACAGACAACUACGGGAGGAAGCAGUAGGGAAUCUUCCGCAAUGGGCGAAAGCCUGACGGAGCAACGCCGCGUGAGUGAUGAAGGUCUUCGGAUCGUAAAACUCUGUUAUUAGGGAAGAACAUAUGUGUAAGUAACUGUGCACAUCUUGACGGUACCUAAUCAGAAAGCCACGGCUAACUACGUG
This 497-nucleotide ribosomal RNA is filed under the name uncultured bacterium. RNAcentral describes it as "partial 16S ribosomal RNA". It matches the Rfam family "Bacterial small subunit ribosomal RNA", at positions 28 to 507 of the family's 1533-position model. The record is from RNAcentral.